Long non-coding RNA from Stegastes partitus (bicolor damselfish), 249 nucleotides. RefSeq lists it as uncharacterized. The record is from RefSeq and is a predicted model, not a curated record. The transcript has 2 exons. NCBI's taxonomy places the organism in Eukaryota, Metazoa, Chordata, Actinopteri, Pomacentridae.
AACAUGAACGUUUACCACACGUUCUUCUGCUUCCUCUUCAUCGCACUGCAGGAUGGAAACUCUGGACUGGUCAAUGCAGACGGUGAAGUCUACACAGUAAUGGAAGGACAAGACUUCACAGUUUACUGUCCAUUUACUUCCUCUGGACGCACAAAGUUCUUCUGUAGGGAAACAUGUGAAGAAGGAAACAUUCUCAUUGAAACAACAAAAAACAAAGAUCAGAGAGGCAGAUACAGCAUUGAGUAUGAA